This 253-nucleotide ribosomal RNA is filed under the name uncultured bacterium. RNAcentral's name for it is "partial 16S ribosomal RNA". It matches the Rfam family "Bacterial small subunit ribosomal RNA", at positions 524 to 776 of the family's 1533-position model. The record is from RNAcentral.
UACGUAGGGUGCAAGCGUUGUCCGGAAUUAUUGGGCGUAAAGAGCUCGUAGGCGGUUUGUCGCGUCUGCUGUGAAAACCCGAGGCUCAACCUCGGGCCUGCAGUGGGUACGGGCAGACUAGAGUGCGGUAGGGGAGAUUGGAAUUCCUGGUAUAGCGGUGAAAUGCGCAGAUAUCAGGAGGAACACCGGUGGCGAAGGCGGGUCUCUGGGCCGAUACUGACGCUGAGGAGCGAAAGCGUGGGGAGCGAACAGG